CCCUUAGAUGUCCUGGGCCGCACGCGCGCUACACUGAACGGAUCAGCGCGUUUUCCCUUCCCGAGAGGGACGGGUAACCUGCUGAACCCCGUUCGUGGUAGGGAUCGGGGCUUGCAAUUAUUCCCCGUGAACCAGGAAUGCCCAGUAAGUGCAAGUCAUAAGCUUGCGUUGAUUACGUCCCUGCCCUUUGUACACACCGCCCGUCGCUACUACCGAUUGAACGUUUUAGUGAGGUACUCGGACUGAGCCUCAGAAGAUUCACGUCUUUUGUGCUGCUCGGGAAGAUUCCCAAACUUGAGCGUUUAGAGGAAGUAAAANUCGUAACA
This 326-nucleotide ribosomal RNA is filed under the name uncultured eukaryote. Its description in RNAcentral is "partial 18S ribosomal RNA". It matches the Rfam family "Eukaryotic small subunit ribosomal RNA", at positions 1470 to 1796 of the family's 1831-position model. The record is from RNAcentral.